Long non-coding RNA from Homo sapiens (human), 557 nucleotides. Ensembl annotates it as long intergenic non-protein coding RNA 2238. The record is from Ensembl. NCBI's taxonomy places the organism in Eukaryota, Metazoa, Chordata, Mammalia, Primates, Hominidae.
UCUACUGAUACCAGCAGCAAUCAAAGAUGGGUGGUAUGUCCUCUUUCUUCAUGUCACCAGAUGGGAUGGCUACUUUGUGGAAAAAUGGAGAGAAGAGAAGACUACAGUGAUGGGACCAGGAAACAGGAUAUCUGUGGUCAGAAGUUGCCUCUUAGGACUAAACCAGUGAAAGAUGGGAAAAUCCAUGAUGGAAGCUUGCUUGAACUCUGAAGAAACACUGGCUUCUUUGUAAUCCAAUUUCCAUAUUAAAUGACAGUCCAGCCAGUACCAUGAAAGUUGAAAAUCACCAUGACAAUGACAAGAAGAGACCAAAAAAGGGCAGAAAAGGGGCUCCUUGAUUCCAGGGAAAUCUUCAACCCUCCUUGAUUCCAGGAAAAUCUUUAUCCCUUCCUAAGAAAAGCGUAAGUAUUCCUGCCUUUGCUUUCAAUUCCCAACCCCUUCAUUAAAGCUAUCCUACAUCUGUAACUUCCUGGUUCUCAGGAGCCAAGAAGUUGAUUGGUGGGCCACUCUCCCACUUCUCCAUUUUAUGACCAUCAAAUAAAGCCUGCACUUCUCAA